RNAcentral lists this ribosomal RNA (472 nucleotides) under Triatoma circummaculata. RNAcentral's name for it is "SSU rRNA". It matches the Rfam family "Eukaryotic small subunit ribosomal RNA", at positions 636 to 1071 of the family's 1831-position model. Lineage: Eukaryota; Metazoa; Arthropoda; Insecta; Hemiptera; Reduviidae. The record is from RNAcentral.
GGCAUGUCGCGGCAUGUCCUGUCGGUGGUGAACGGAGUCCACGACGCUACAUGGGCUUUAUAGUCGAUGUUAGCAUCGUGUGUACUUCCGUUGGCCGAUCUCUCCUACUUCGGUGCUCUUAAACGAGUGUCGAGGUAGGCCGACACGUUCACUUUGAACAAAUUAGAGUGCUUAAAGCAGGCUGAAAUAUCUGCCUGAAUAGUGGUGCAUGGAAUGAUAAAACAGGACCUCGGUUCUAUUUUGUUGGUUUUAGGAAUAUGAGGUAAUGAUCAAUGUGGACUGGCGGGGGCAUUCGUAUUGCGACGUUAGAGGUGAAAUUCUUGGAUCGUCGCAAGACGCACUAGAGCGAAAGCAUUUGCCAAGUAUGUCUUAAUUGAUCAAGAACGAAAGUUAGAGGUUCGAAGGCGAUCAGAUACCGCCCUAGUUCUAACCAUAAACGAUGCCAGCCAGCGAUCCGCCGAUGUUCCUUUAA